RNAcentral lists this ribosomal RNA (455 nucleotides) under Defluviitalea phaphyphila. Its description in RNAcentral is "bacterial SSU rRNA". It matches the Rfam family "Bacterial small subunit ribosomal RNA", at positions 338 to 795 of the family's 1533-position model. The record is from RNAcentral. Lineage: Bacteria; Bacillati; Bacillota; Clostridia; Lachnospirales; Defluviitaleaceae.
CCUACGGGUGGCUGCAGUGGGGAAUAUUGCACAAUGGGGGAAACCCUGAUGCAGCGACGCCGCGUGAGCGAAGAAGGAUUUCGGUUCGUAAACUUCUAUCAGCAAGGAAGAAAGCGCUUCUAAGGAAGUGAGACAGUACUUGAGUAAGCAGCCCCGGCUAACUACGUGCCAGCAGCCGCGGUAAUACGUAGGGGGCGAGCGUUAUCCGGAAUUACUGGGUGUAAAGGGUGCGUAGGCGGCACCGUAAGUCUGUUGUGAAAGGCGAUGGCUUAACCAUCGAAGUGCAAUGGAAACUGCGGAGCUAGAGUGCAGGAGAGGAAAGCGGAAUUCCUAGUGUAGCGGUGAAAUGCGUAGAUAUUAGGAAGAACACCAGUGGCGAAGGCGGCUUUCUGGACUGCAACUGACGCUGGGGCACGAAAGCGUGGGGAGCAAACAGGAUUAAUACCCGGGUAGUC